UCCUCCUGCCUCCUCGUGUCAGCCGCCUUCUUCCUCCUCUCCACUUCUCUCGAUGCAAUCUGCUGGGAAAAGCCCAUUUAAGCAAGAUCUCAUUUGGGAUUCGGCUUCAUCGGUAAUCCUUCUCAUGGCUCCUCUAAAAAAGUCGCUGCAGCCUAAUUUGAAAAACAAGGGCUCAUUUAUUGAUGUUCCCUCUACUGACAGUCAAAGCUUAGAUUGCUCUAUGCAAGAAUCAACUAAAACCAGGGUAAGAUCGGGUAACUGGACAGAAAUAAUGGACUCCGCAAUGUUGAACGUAAUGAUAGAGGAGCAUACUCUUGGGAACUUUGUCAAUGGGAGUUUUACUCCAUUGGCAUGGACUAGAAUGAUUCGAGAUUUCAAUGAGAGGACAAAAUUGGGCUUUACCAAAGUUCAUUUGCAAAACCGUUUGAAAGUCUUGAAGCGUCAAUAUUUGAUGUAUCAAACUUUAGCCAACAAAAGUGGAUGGGGGUGGGAUUCCACACAAAAUAUUCCAACUGCGGGUGACUCCAGUGAUUGGGAUGCCAUUAUAGCGGAAAAUCCUGCUUAUGCUAAGUGUCGGGACAAACCAUUUCCGGCAUAUCAAUCUAUUGAAUUCUUGACUGGAAAAGGUACUGCAACCGGUAGACAUGGAUUUACUUCCCGAGUGGAGGUCGAGGAUGUUCGUAGCACCUCUUCCUCCUCUCCUGCUACGCAACCACUCAAUAUGGAAAACUUUGCCAAGAAUUUAGAGGACGUUAAUGACGCCAAUUCAACUUCUCCAACUCCGACUCCAAUUAAAGUAAGUACCCACUAUGAAGGUAGUGGCUCCGGCCGCACUUCAUCGUUGAAGAGGCCGCGAGUGUCACCACCAAAUCCUACACCAACUUCAAACCGUCGCCGAAAAGAUGACGGUCGAACGCAAGCAAUUUAUGAGCUCGUUGAAUUGGGAAAAAAAAGAACUGAAAUUGCACAAGCUAUAAUGGACCGUGAGUUACAAGCUCGGCCAAAAAUUCACUCAAUAGAGGAGUGUAUGGAAAGGCUCUCCACUGUUGCUCACUUGACUCCUGAUGGUUUACUUGCUGUGUGUGAGGCUUUAAAAGAUGAGCGCAAUAGGCCUAUUUUUAUGAAAUUGAGUGGCGAUAUGUUGUGCAUGUGGAUAGAUCGUCAAAUCGCCAUGCAACAAUUUUAUGCUGGACAAAGGCCUAUUGCAUCAUCAUUUGCACCUACUGCACCCUUUUUCACAGCAGCAUCUUCAUCCUUUACUCCUGGACCAUUUGCAUCCUUUCCACCUGCAAGUGCAAGCUUCCCACUUGGCACGCCCACUUUUCCUCCUGCAGGACCUUCUGGCUCUUCUAAUUUACCAUCAUUUUCGCCGGAAAGGCCAUCUUUUCCGCCUAAUUAAGUUCGUACUUUUGGAUUGAUGAAGAAACUUGCCCUUUUUUGGUGUUUGGCACUUCCUGGUUGUGCUACUUAGUACUAAUUAAGUGAGCACUUAUUAUCUAUUUUGUUUGCAUAAAGCUCUGAGAUGCUGCAUGUAUUAACUAAUGUACUCUUUCUAUUUUACAUGUACUCUAUGCUUUACUUAUAUGCUUUGUUAAGUUCAAACAGUAUGUCCACUAUGAAGGACUUGUAGGCUGAUCCAUGCUUUUUCAAUUUCUAUAACUGUUACUCUGCACAGCUUGCUUCUUCUCAACUUUUUAUUUGCUAGUCUUUACUUACCAUUGAUGAGCACAAGAGGUGAUUGGUAUGAAAGGUAUAAGUUUGGUUCAUUAGCUAAGCACUUGUUUCAAUUUCCUAUAUAUAUGCUUGCCAUACUUCUAUUAACUGUUGUGUUGUACCAUACUUUUGGAAUCCUAUUCCUAUAUAACCUGAUCUAUUUUCCUUCAUGGCCAGGUAUAAAAGGUAAUAUACUUUUGCCGAAAUGGAUGAUUAUUUGGUUCAAUCUUAGUAUGUAUAAGCUUGCUUCUUCUCAAGUUGUAAUACAAACGGUACGCGCUCCGGCAAUGAUGAAUAAAGCUAGCAACAGUCUUGAAUGGUUUGGGGGGCAAUAGGUGACCUAUUGCAGCCACCGUUCAGACUUGGGCCCUUUAUUACCUGAGCCAACACAUGAUUGUUCAGCUGCAAGGUGCAGUGUUAUUAAUCUCCAACUCUCUUCAAUACUCUACUUAUUGGGUUCAAUUGCUAUUAUUCGAGUCAUGGCUGGAGCAAACAAUCAGCGUGUUUUUUCUUCAACACUUGUUGCCGAUCUCAUGACAUUCUUAGAUGAGGAAGAAGAUUAUUGGGAAGAAGUGCAUGCCUUACUUAUCGAAGAGGGGGACUUUUCAUUCCACAACACUAUUUAUAGGCAGCCUUGUCGAACUCGGCCAUUUACUGGCCACGAGCUAAUUCAUGACAUAUUGCGUGGACACCCUGAUAGAGGUUAUCAACAUUUCAGGAUGACCACCACUAUGUUUACAAGGCUUCGAGAAGAACUGGUUGGAAGGGGUUUUAUACAAAAUACUAGGCAUUUAACUGCUGACGAGCAGCUUGGUAUAUUUCUAUUUGGUACAGGUCAUGCCGUGGCCAAUAGAGUUUUGGCGGAAACUUUUCAACAUUCUGGAGAAACGAUUAGCAGGCAUUUUAAUAAUGUACUGCGCGGCGUGGUUGAACUUAGGCAUGACUACAUCCAACUCCCACUAUCAAAUACAGGAGUACACCCUAGAAUAAAGGAAAAUCCGACAUUCUAUCCAUUCAAGAAUGCAAUUGGUGCAGUAGAUGGGACUCACAUACCGGUGGUUGUACGGAAGCAUAAGCAACCAAGAUAUCGGUGUCGAAAAGGAUUUACUUCUCAGAACAUGAUGGCCGCAUGCUCGUUUGACCAUCAGUUUCUAUUUGUGUGCACCGGGUGGGAGGGUUCUGCAGCUGAUAUGAGGGUACUGCGAUGGUGUUGCGAGAGUGGCGGUUUCGCUGUCCCGGAAGGAAAAUAUUAUCUUGUUGAUUCUGGAUAUGCGAAUACUGAUCACUUCCUCGCGCCCUAUCGAGGGGAACGAUAUCACUUGAGCCAAUUUGAUGUAAAUGCACAAGCCCGAAGGCAUCGAGGACCUCGAGAUUUAUAUAAUCAUCGUCAUGCUCAAUUGCGAAACGUAGUUGAGAAAGCUUUUGGGAUCCUAAAGAGGCGGUUCAAGGUGCUUCGACAAGCAACACCAUUUCCCUACAAGGUGCAGUGUCGCAUUGCCCUCGCAUGUUGUGUCAUACACAAUUUCAUCAAAAGACACCAAGGGACCGAUAGGUACUUCAACAUGCAAAUGGACUCAUUGCCGAUGGACGACACACUUGAUGAAUCAUCAGCUCCUGUUGGGCCAGACGAGUCUCGGAGAGGAGACGCCCUUCGCACUAUGAUAACAGGGCAACUUUGGAACAAUAGAUAGGAGGAAAAUAUUGAGAAUGAUGUAAAUUUGUUUUUUACUUUAUGCUUUUUUUUUUCCUUCUCAACUUAUGUGCUGUGUCUUUAAACUGAAGUUAUUGCGUGCUGUUUUCCAUAUCUUUGUAAUUGGAAGUUAAGUUAUGUUA
Molecule: RNA transcript, 3546 nt
Organism: Ananas comosus (pineapple)
Lineage: Eukaryota; Viridiplantae; Streptophyta; Magnoliopsida; Poales; Bromeliaceae
Exons: 6
Source: RefSeq, a predicted model, not a curated record